This 60-nucleotide ribosomal RNA is filed under the name Lecidea atrobrunnea. RNAcentral's name for it is "partial 26S ribosomal RNA". It matches the Rfam family "Eukaryotic large subunit ribosomal RNA", at positions 1 to 59 of the family's 3401-position model. Lineage: Eukaryota; Fungi; Ascomycota; Lecanoromycetes; Lecideales; Lecideaceae. The record is from RNAcentral.
CUGACCUCGGAUCAGGUAGGGAUACCCGCUGAACUUAAGCAUAUCAAUAAGCGGAGGAAA